RNAcentral lists this unclassified non-coding RNA (357 nucleotides) under fungal sp. RNAcentral's name for it is "partial internal transcribed spacer region". The stretch from base 1 to 46 matches the Rfam family "Eukaryotic small subunit ribosomal RNA", at positions 1786 to 1831 of the family's 1831-position model. The record is from RNAcentral. Lineage: Eukaryota; Fungi.
AAGUCGUAACAAGGUCACCGUAGGUGAACCUGCGGUGGGAUCAUUACACUUUUCCAACAACAUUGGACAGUCUUAAAACAACUGUCUUCAACCUUCGUGAAUUCUGUUUCAAAAUACAAAAACCCGCUCGAUUGACGAUGAGGGAUCAGCUGUAAACCGGUUCGGUGAGAAAGGUUUACCCGGUCGAUCAUUCCAAACCUCUGUUGAUCAUAUGAGCAAUUUCUCACUGUAUUUCACUUUAUUAUUUUAACCCAUUGUAACCAAUGAAAUAUUUUCUUUUUUGUUGUUAACGCAACAAAAAACAAAUUAAACAAAUUUUGAAGCACAACUCUUAACAACGGAUAUCUAGGCUCUCGG